AACGAACGCUGGCGGCGCGUCUUAAGCAUGCAAGUCGAACGGCAAGAGAGGAGCUUGCUUCUCUCCUAGAGUGGCGGACUGGUGAGGAACACGUGGGUAAUCUACCCUUAAGAUGGGGAUAGCUGCUAGAAAUAGCAGGUAAUACCGAAUACACUCGGCAUAUCACAAGAGGUGUUGAGGAAAGGAAGCUACGGCUUCGCUUGAGGAUGAGCUUGCGUCCCAUUAGCUAGUUGGUGAGGUAAAGGCCCACCAAGGCGACGAUGGGUAUCCGGCCUGAGAGGGUGAACGGACACAUUGGGACUGAGAUACGACCCAAACUCCUACGGGAGGCAGCAGCUAAGAAUAUUCCGCAAUGGACGGAAGUCUGACGGAGCGACGCCGCGUGGAUGAAGAAGGCUGAAAAGUUGUAAAAUCCUUUUGUUGAUGAAGAAUAAGGGUGAGAGGGAAUGCUCAUCUGAUGACGGUAAUCGACGAAUAAGCCCCGGCUAAUUACGUG
This 496-nucleotide ribosomal RNA is filed under the name uncultured bacterium. RNAcentral describes it as "partial 16S ribosomal RNA". It matches the Rfam family "Bacterial small subunit ribosomal RNA", at positions 29 to 507 of the family's 1533-position model. The record is from RNAcentral.